Oncorhynchus mykiss (rainbow trout) is the source of this 467-nucleotide non-coding RNA. NCBI's taxonomy places the organism in Eukaryota, Metazoa, Chordata, Actinopteri, Salmoniformes, Salmonidae. The record is from RefSeq and is a predicted model, not a curated record.
ACCUACUUAGCAAUGUCAUGUUUUAUGGGAUAGAGUGAAACACAUUUUGUUGAUACGAGUUUCAAUCUCAGUGCCACUGACUGGCUAGUGCUGAGCUAGCUAACGUUAGCUUUCCUAUUUUUGCACAAUUAAUGUGAUAGAUGGAUACCCUUCCCUGACCAGUGGUGUUGAAGAGGCAGAGAGGAGGAUGCAUCAACACCCUGGAAAUAUGUUUGCGAUGCAAUCACUCAUAACACUUUUUUUGAGUGAUAAAUUAGUAUUGUCUUUAAGAUUGAUAAGAUACCCAGAGGACGCCUGUUGCUCUGUUUGUCCGACCACAUCCUGGAAAGUCUUCAUGUAGUACCGUACCUCACAAGCGGAUAAUCCAAGGAAGGUGUGGCACUGCUAUUGCCUCAUUUUAACAUGCAUGUACAAUCUGUGUGUAUAUGCAAAGACUUUAAGGUGUGCAAAUAAACUGGAUAGAACAA